UCCAAGCUCCUCACCCUAAAGCAUUUAGAGU
This 31-nucleotide non-coding RNA is filed under the name Mus musculus (house mouse). The record is from RNAcentral. Lineage: Eukaryota; Metazoa; Chordata; Mammalia; Rodentia; Muridae.